UCCUCUCGCCCUCUCUUUCUUCACUGGCCUCUCAGUUUUCUCUUCAUCAUCGACAAUUCGAGAUCGCCAAGGAGACCGCCAAGGACUGGGUUAAGCUCACCGUCCAAAACCGUCAAGCCAAGGUCUCGGUGGUCCCCUCUACCGCCUCUUUGGGAUCUGCGUUUUGCUUGGAGCCGGAUCGCGACCGUAAAAUGUCAACUGCUUCAGAGAUUGAAGAAGAUUCGGUGUUCUUUUCUCCUCCAUAGCCAAGGUCCAGAUCGAUGGCCACGAUCCAGAUCUGGUGAUGUAAUUGUUUCCAUCAAUACUCUUCUCUGGGUUAUCGGGUUUCGUUUGAAAUCCGAGUAUGGUGCCAUGGUGGUUGAAGUCUGAUGAGCACGAUCUCCGCCGCCGCCGCAAGGACAUGAUCGAUGGGUAUUUCUUAUGCCUUUUACUAUUCUAAUGUGGUUUUUGUUCAUUUCUAUUUAAUUUAAGGUUUUGAUUUUCUGGGUGUUAAUAUUUUGAUUUCGAUCUUGGUUUUCAUGCAUGUUGAUGACUUGAUUGCAAUAACAAAGCAUGUUGAUGACUUGAUGGUAAUAUCUGUUUUUCUCUUGGUAUUUUACAGGAUAGUUUCUUUUCUAGUUUUUGCUGGGAUGGUGAAUUACGAUUGGACCUGGAUUGGCUUCAUACGCAAUUGACACAGUGCGCAGAAGGAUGAUGACGAUGUUUGAUAUUUAUUUUCAUAUUAUUUCACUGUCUGGGUGUUUUGAUUUAUGGUUCAAAGUUCAAACUUGAAUGACAGUGUGUGACAGUGUGUUGUUCCUGGCUUUUUUGUUAGGCAGAUGCUAUAAUUUCAAGGAUGCAAAGUAGUGAACUGGAUGGUGGUGCUAAUCAAACAAUAUUAAUUGCUGCAGGUACAGUAUGCGUUUAUAAGUAAUAUAUGUUCAUUACUUUAAAACAUUGAUGGUUUCUCUGUUCAAUAUGUUAUGUUUUAGCUGGGAUGAUGACUUAAAUCAUAUACUUUGUUAUAGCUGGGUCUCUAAUCUGCAAGCUUAGGAAUUUGAAUAACCACUAUGUAAUCUGGUCUGUUUAACAAGACAUGCUUUAACUGGUAAAAAUAUCAAAAUUAUUGAAUCAGUUUUGCGUUUUGGUGUUGUUUUCAUUUGGGGCAUGUAUUCUAUAAUUGAGAUUAUUCUCACUACCAAGUCUUACUGAUUUUGAGGCAUAAGGUGGAGUUAAGGGGUAAUUUGAGAUAAUACUAUCUGAUAUGACCAUUGAUAUGAUCUGAUAGUAGAAUAUGUAUUGAUUCCUCAGUCUGCCUGUGCCAUGUUUACAUUAAUAGGCUUGGACAUCAGACAUAUACGCUUGGAUAGUAAGUUUAAUUAUAUUAUAUAUUUCGCUGUCUGAUUAAUAUUUGGUCUACUAAUAACUAUUGUUUACCUUUGGCUUUCCAUACAGAGGUUGUGCCUAGGGAGAAUCCUCGAGUUCAUGAAUGUGCCUGGCUUGACUAGGGAGAACGUAGCUAGUCAUUUGCAGGAGCUAUGGCAGAGAUUACAAGCAUCAGUUUUGAGACAGAAGAGGGAUGCUCUUUUUUGUUUUUGUUUUUCAUGUCUUUUGCUUGUGUGGGUGGUUAUUGGUUAAUGGGUUGCUCUUUUAUUUUAUUUGUUAUAUCGAAAAGGCUCCAAUGGCCUUGAUUCCUAAUUUCCUACUUUCCGGAGUAAUUUUUGUAAGUAGAUGGACUUGAAUCUCUCGAGUCUACACCAAUGUGUUUGAUGCAUAGUAUUAUUUUUUGGUGAGGAAGGGCCCAAAAGGCUAGCAAAAAGAGAGAGAAUGAACUAUAAAAAAGACCUGGAAAAAAAAAACACAAUUAUUAAA
Long non-coding RNA from Rosa rugosa (rugosa rose), 1851 nucleotides. RefSeq lists it as uncharacterized. NCBI's taxonomy places the organism in Eukaryota, Viridiplantae, Streptophyta, Magnoliopsida, Rosales, Rosaceae. The record is from RefSeq and is a predicted model, not a curated record. The transcript is spliced from 3 exons.